UACACUCCUGCGGGAGGCAGCAGUGGGGAAUUUUGGACAAUGGGCGAAAGCCUGAUCCAGCAAUGCCGCGUGUGUGAAGAAGGCCUUCGGGUUGUAAAGCACUUUUGUCCGGAAAGAAAUCCUUGGCUCUAAUACAGUCGGGGGAUGACGGUACCGGAAGAAUAAGCACCGGCUAACUACGUGCCAGCAGCCGCGGUAAUACGUAGGGUGCGAGCGUUAAUCGGAAUUACUGGGCGUAAAGCGUGCGCAGGCGGUUUGCUAAGACCGAUGUGAAAUCCCCGGGCUCAACCUGGGAACUGCAUUGGUGACUGGCAGGCUAGAGUAUGGCAGAGGGGGGUAGAAUUCCACGUGUAGCAGUGAAAUGCGUAGAGAUGUGGAGGAAUACCGAUGGCGAAGGCAGCCCCCUGGGCCAAUACUGACGCUCAUGCACGAAAGCGUGGGGAGCGAACAGGAUUAGAAACCCUGGUAGUCCCAUGAU
RNAcentral lists this ribosomal RNA (478 nucleotides) under uncultured organism. Its description in RNAcentral is "partial 16S ribosomal RNA". It matches the Rfam family "Bacterial small subunit ribosomal RNA", at positions 332 to 801 of the family's 1533-position model. The record is from RNAcentral.